UAAACUAGGAUUAGAUACCCUAUUAUUUUAGAAUGUUAAUGUCUGAGUAGUAUUAGUUAUGUUCUUGAAACUUAAAGAAUUUGGCGGUAUCUCAUUCCUUCCAGAGGAAUCUGUCUCGUUAUCGAUAGUCCACGUUGGACCUUACUUAGGUUUGUAUACCGCCGUUUAUUGAUCAUCCUUUUAGGGUUGGUUUUAAUUUUCUGGUUUCAUUUAUUAUGGUUUAUUUCAGGUCAAGGUGCAGCUUGUUUCUAAGUGAAUGAUGGAUUACAUUGUUAUUUGUUUUAUUGGAUUGUUGGUUUUAAUAUUGGCAUGAAAUUGGAUUUGGUUGUAAUUGUUUGUAGAUUGUUAUUGUGAUAGUGGUUCUGGGAUAUUUACACAUCGCCCGUCGCUCUCGUGUUGAUGAGAUAAGUCGUAACAUAGUA
RNAcentral lists this ribosomal RNA (422 nucleotides) under Cavitermes tuberosus. Its description in RNAcentral is "partial 12S ribosomal RNA". Lineage: Eukaryota; Metazoa; Arthropoda; Insecta; Blattodea; Termitidae. The record is from RNAcentral.